RNAcentral lists this ribosomal RNA (228 nucleotides) under uncultured bacterium. Its description in RNAcentral is "partial 16S ribosomal RNA". It matches the Rfam family "Bacterial small subunit ribosomal RNA", at positions 111 to 334 of the family's 1533-position model. The record is from RNAcentral.
UAACGCGUAGGUAACCUGCCUGGUAGCGGGGGAUAACUAUUGGAAACGGUAGCUAAUACCGCAUAAGAGUAGAUGUUGCAUGACAUUUACUUAAAAGGUGCAAUUGCAUCACUACCAGAUGGACCUGCGUUGUAUUAGCUAGUUGGUGGGGUAACGGCUCACCAAGGCGACGAUACAUAGCCGACCUGAGAGGGUGAUCGGCCACACUGGGACUGAGACACGGCCCAG